GGCUCAGGAUGAACGCGGCGGUAUGCUUAACACAUGCAAGUCGUACGCAAAUUGUUUCAAUUGAGUGGCGGACGGGUGAGUAACACGUGAGAAUUUGCUUUUAGGAGGGGAAUAACAAUUGGAAACGAUUCCUAAUGCCCCAUAUGCUGAAAAGUCAAAGGAGUAAUCCGCCUAAAAAAGAGCUCGCGUCUGAUUAGCUAGUUGGUAAGGUAAUGGCUUACCAAGGCGACGAUCAGUAGCUGGUUUGAGAGAACGAUCAGCCACACUGGAACUGAGACACGGUCCAGACUCCUACGGGAGGCAGCAGUGGGGAAUUUUCUGCAAUGGGCGAAAGCCUGACAGAGCAAUACCGCGUGAGGGAUGAAGGCUUGCGAGUUGUAAACCUCUUUUGUCAAGGAGGAAGUUCUGACGUGUACUUGACGAAUAAGCAUCGGCUAACUCCGUGCCAGCAGCCGCGGUAAGACGGAGGAUGCAAGUGUUAUCCUGAAUAACUGGGCGUAAAGCGUCUGUAGGUGGUUUAAAAAGUCUAUUGUUAAAGCUUGAAGCUUAACUUCAAAAAUGCAAUAGAAACUUUUAAACUUGAGUGUGGUAGGGGUAAAGGGAAUUUCCAGUGGAGCGGUGAAAUGCGUAGAUAUUGGAAAGACCACCAAUGGCGAAGGCACUUUACUGGGCCAUUACUGACACUGAGAGACGAAAGCUAGGGGAGCAAAUGGGAUUAGAUA
Molecule: ribosomal RNA, 722 nt
Filed under: uncultured bacterium
Lineage: Bacteria
Description: bacterial SSU rRNA
Rfam family: Bacterial small subunit ribosomal RNA
Source: RNAcentral